GCCCUUAUAGCUCAAUUGGCAGAGCGGUAGUUUUGUAAACUACUGACCGGGGUUCGAUUCCUCGUGGGGGCUCCA
Molecule: transfer RNA, 75 nt
Filed under: marine sediment metagenome
Description: tRNA-Thr
Rfam family: tRNA
About the family: Transfer RNA (tRNA) molecules are approximately 80 nucleotides in length. Their secondary structure includes four short double-helical elements and three loops (D, anti-codon, and T loops).
Source: RNAcentral